GCCUGAGUGGCUCAGUCGGUUAAGCGUCUGACUUUGGCUCAGGUCAGAUCUCAAGGUUCCUGGGUUCGAGCCCCGAGUCAGGCU
Molecule: transfer RNA, 84 nt
Filed under: Felis catus (domestic cat)
Lineage: Eukaryota; Metazoa; Chordata; Mammalia; Carnivora; Felidae
Also listed under: 1 other name
Rfam family: tRNA
About the family: Transfer RNA (tRNA) molecules are approximately 80 nucleotides in length. Their secondary structure includes four short double-helical elements and three loops (D, anti-codon, and T loops). Further hydrogen bonds mediate the characteristic L-shaped molecular structure. tRNAs have two regions of fundamental functional importance: the anti-codon, which is responsible for specific mRNA codon recognition, and the 3' end, to which the tRNAs corresponding amino acid is attached (by aminoacyl-tRNA synthetases). tRNAs cope with the degeneracy of the genetic code in two manners: having more than one tRNA (with a specific anti-codon) for a particular amino acid; and 'wobble' base-pairing, i.e. permitting non-standard base-pairing at the 3rd anti-codon position.
Source: Rfam by way of RNAcentral